UACGUAGGGCGCAAGCGUUAUCCGGAAUUAUUGGGCGUAAAGAGCUCGUAGGCGGUUUGUCGCGUCUGCCGUGAAAGUCCGGGGCUCAACUCCGGAUCUGCGGUGGGUACGGGCAGACUAGAGUGAUGUAGGGGAGACUGGAAUUCCUGGUGUAGCGGUGAAAUGCGCAGAUAUCAGGAGGAACACCGGUGGCGAAAGCAGCUCUCUGGGACGGUACUGACGCUGAGACGCGAAAGCGUGGGGAGCGAACAGG
This 253-nucleotide ribosomal RNA is filed under the name uncultured bacterium. RNAcentral's name for it is "partial 16S ribosomal RNA". It matches the Rfam family "Bacterial small subunit ribosomal RNA", at positions 524 to 776 of the family's 1533-position model. The record is from RNAcentral.